Molecule: ribosomal RNA, 494 nt
Filed under: uncultured bacterium
Lineage: Bacteria
Description: partial 16S ribosomal RNA
Rfam family: Bacterial small subunit ribosomal RNA
Source: RNAcentral
GACGAACGCUGGCGGCGUGCUUAACACAUGCAAGCCGAACGGAAAGGCCUGCUUUCCCUUGUGGAUUGCGGGUACUCGAGUGGCGAACGGGUGAGUAACACGUGAGUGAUCUGCCCCCAACUUGGGUAUAAGCCUGGGAAACUGGGUCUAAUUCCCGAUAGGACUGCAGGGUGGUGCCUGUGGUGGAAAACGAUUUUCUAGUGGUUGGGGAUGAGCUCGCGGCCUAUCAGCUUGUUGGUGGGGUAAUGGCCUACCAAGGCGGCGACGGGUAGCCGGCCUGAGAGGGUGGACGGCCACAUUGGGACUGAGAUACGGCCCAGACUCCUACGGGAGGCAGCAGUGGGGAAUAUUACACAAUGGGCGGAAGCCUGAUGCAGCGACGCCGCGUGGGGGAUGACGGCCUUCGGGUUGUAAACUCCUUUCGACCGCGAGGAAGCCACCUGGUUGGAAGGGUGGUGACGGUAGUGGUAGAAGAAGCACCGGCUAACUACGUG